UUAAGGCAGAAAGUAGGGCAGUGUGGCACCUUAAAGACUAACUAGUUCAAAGGCAUGAGCUCUUAUAGGCAACAACCUACUUCCUCAGAUACUAUGAAAGAAGGGGCAGUAAGAGAAGGAUCAACAGUUAAAUGUCCUGGAGAGUACCUGGACUAGCUGUUAACUCAGUAUCUCACAAAGGGUUAACUGCCUUGUUCAUCUCAAUUGAUCCUAUCAAUCUCCUCUGGCAGGGUCCCCUCCCCAUCCCUUUCCCUUCUGUAUAAAACCCUCUCUUUCUGCCAGUUCUUUCAUAGCAUCUGGCAAAAUAGGCUGUUGCCUAUAAAAGCUCAUGCCUCUCUGAACUAGUUGGUUUCUAAGGUGUUACACUACCCUAACUUCUGCUUGCCUGACUUCAAACUGACAUGGCUCACCACCUUUCUGAGAUCCACACGUCCAGAGCAGGCGCUGCGCUCCCCUUCGCAACUUCACUAUAGGCUGCAUAAAAGGUCUAAGGGUUAUUUUAAGCGCUGAGCAUCAUAUCGAUAUUUCAAUCGUAUUAGACUCUACUUGCAAAGAAUUCACCUGCGAACCAAAAGGCCACUUCAAAAAAAAACAAACCCGACCGUGACUACCGCGCUGAGGUAUGACGCCAAUCGAGGCAGGACCAAGAGGAUAUGGUUUCAAGAUGCCUGCAACUUAAACAGGUACAAACGUAUGUCGCAUUCCUUACUCAAACCUGACUGCCGCCAGGAAGCCAGCAAGUGCACUUUUACUGACGACCCCAUCGUGAGAGCGGCGUUUCACAGAAAUACGUUCCCUUGCUUCCCGAAAGCUUGCGAUUAAUUUUUUUUUUCUUUUUUUGGACAAAGAGCUAAUAAACCGAUUCCUUGCA
Molecule: long non-coding RNA, 871 nt
Organism: Alligator mississippiensis (American alligator)
Lineage: Eukaryota; Metazoa; Chordata; Crocodylia; Alligatoridae
Exons: 2
Source: RefSeq, a predicted model, not a curated record